ACACAAACACACACACACACACACAUGCACAUUAACAUUUAUUUAACCAGUUAAAAAUGUAAUUAUUUUAUUAAUUAAAAUCAAUUUCAAGACCUGGGCCCGGAUUCACAAAAGUGUUCUUAAGAUAAAAAUUAAGAAGAUUCUUCAGAAAAAAUAUAAGAAGUUCCUAAGAAUCUUCUUAAACGCUAUUCACCAUUUUUUUCUUAAGAAUUGUCGAUUGUCUUACGAACUUCUUAGUUUUCUCACUUAGGAUGUUCUUAGAUUUUUAUCUUAAGAACGCUCGCAAGGUUUUUGAACCAACAGUUGACCGACAGUUGAGAGAAAUUGAUUUGUGAAAAAAGGAGGACAUCGCCUGUAAAUGAAGCUUUAACUUCUCCAAACAGGAGUUGGAGGUGAUGGUCGAGGAGAUCAUCAUCCGAAAAAGAUUAUUGUUUGGCAAGCUAGACAGUAUGAUAACGUCGGAAAACAAAAAGAGGGCGUGGGCCAAAGUUGCCCAGACUGUAUCUGCAGUGGCGGAUAUAGGUAUCGUUUGCGAUGUCAACGCUGUAAAACAAAAAAGUGGGCUGACAUCAAAUCUAUUGUAAAAAAGAAUGGAACGGAGAGGGCAAGAGAGUUGAAAAAAAACUAGAGGAGGGAAGACGACAAUCCAGCUGGACCCACUGGAGGAGAAAUUGUUGGGGUCGAUUGCCGAAAUGUUAGUUGAAGGAGUAGAUGGAGGAGUGGACACUGGAGAACCGGGAGAAGACGAUAGCCUGCAAGCAGGAGAUACUUUGGUCGUAAUAGCAGUCAACCAGGAUGCAGAACAAUCCCACACAAUCAAUGCAGCUGAACCAACCCAAGCCCUUACAAACCAUCAAAACCUGUUACAGAGUCCCGGGGAUGACCUGACAUUAUCCCAGCUAUUCUCGGAAACCUUUCAUACACCUGCCACAUCCAGAAGCAACACGGAGGACAUGGUCUCCCUUCAGCGUCAGCUUUUGGAGGAAGUUAAAAUGCUGAGGCAUACUCCGGAGCAACUCCUGCAGGUGGAGAGGGAAAAGCUGCUCGUCGAGAGGGAGAAGCUUCACCUUGCCCAAGCCAAGUUUGAUUUAAAAAAAAAUGAAUGUUGAACCUAGAAUAAAAUAGCAAUCACUCAGA
Molecule: long non-coding RNA, 1137 nt
Organism: Gadus morhua (Atlantic cod)
Lineage: Eukaryota; Metazoa; Chordata; Actinopteri; Gadiformes; Gadidae
Exons: 3
Source: RefSeq, a predicted model, not a curated record